GAGAAGUCUCCCUAUGAUCGAGGCCGUCACUUUGAUCAUAGUAGGUCUCCUUAUGACCGGAGUCGUCAUUAUGAUCAUAGAAGCCGUAGCCCAAGUUAUUCAGAGUGGUCCCCACAAGAUCAAGGCCGCCACCAUCAUAGGAGGGACAGGACACCUAACUUCAUGGAGCCGUCCCCACGUGAUCGGAGUAGGACUACUUAUCAUCGAGACACAGGUCGGAAAAGUGGACCAAGUGAUAAAAAGGAUAGUCAUUUUGAAGGCAAAAAGC
RNAcentral lists this unclassified non-coding RNA (268 nucleotides) under Hevea brasiliensis (rubber tree). The record is from RNAcentral. Lineage: Eukaryota; Viridiplantae; Streptophyta; Magnoliopsida; Malpighiales; Euphorbiaceae.